UAGGGAAUCUUCCGCAAUGGGCGAAAGCUUGACGGAGCAACGCCGCGUGAGUGAUGAAGGUCUUCGGAUCGUAAAACUCUGUUAUUAGGGAAGAACAAAUGUGUAAGUAACUAUGCACGUCUUGACGGUACCUAAUCAGAAAGCCACGGCUAACUACGUGCCAGCAGCCGCGGUAAUACGUAGGUGGCAAGCGUUAUCCGGAAUUAUUGGGCGUAAAGCGCGCGUAGGCGGUUUUUUAAGUCUGAUGUGAAAGCCCACGGAUCAACCGUGGAGGGUCAUUGGAAACUGGAAAACUUGAGUGCAGAAGAGGAAAGUGGAAUUCCUUGUGUAGCGGUGAAAUGCGCAGAGAUAUGGAGGAACACCAGUGGCGAAGGCGACUUUCUGGUCUGUAACUGACGCUGAUGUGCGAAAGCGUGGGGAUCAAACAGG
RNAcentral lists this ribosomal RNA (429 nucleotides) under Actinomycetes bacterium. Its description in RNAcentral is "Actinobacteria bacterium partial 16S ribosomal RNA". It matches the Rfam family "Bacterial small subunit ribosomal RNA", at positions 355 to 776 of the family's 1533-position model. The record is from RNAcentral. Lineage: Bacteria; Bacillati; Actinomycetota; Actinomycetes.